GGGCGGGGGCGCGCGAGGAUGAGCCGGCACGACUACCGAUGGGCGGACGUACCCCUACUCCCCGGGGCGGGCUUCUCCGGCAACCUCGCGGGACUCAGGAGAGCGGGAGGCGCGCCGGGAGGGUACGGCCGAUCCCUGCCGCGGGCUGCCCCCCGGCUGUUGGCGGCCGAGCGACUGGCCCUACUGACCCGGCGAGGGGCGUCUCGAACCCGUCGGCGAGGGAUGGCCGGCGGGGGGCGAGCACUCCCGUGGGAACUGCCGGCGGCGCUGCGCGCUGAGGGAGACGGACCAAGGGUCCCCCGCGCUGCGGCCCUCCUCCGACCCGCCGACGCACUUCUGUUGGUCGCUGCGCUUCUACUUGAGGUGAGGCUCGAUGUCGCGGCUGGACACAUGAGGCGGGGAUCGGCUGGACCAGGCCUCCACCCGGUCUCGAGCGCGGUUCCGCGGGCCUCAAGGCGUCCAAGCCUACUGGCACGAGCCAUACCCAGGCUCCUCAGCCUGUCACGCCUGAGCGAGUUAGCCGUAUCCAGGAGCAGGACCAGCGUGCCAUGUGGGGGGCAACGUGGAGCCUCCUCCGAGGCCCAGGUCAACCCGGCAGCUGCUUCGCCUUCUUCUUCGUGAGCCCACCCGAGUUACCAGGAUGGUAGUACCUACCUAGCCCCUCCAGCCGGCAGCCCCUCGGCCUCGUCCUCCGGGGCCACUAAGGGGGCCGGUCUCGGUCAGCGCGGGCCUGGGUACUGCUCUGCGACACGUAGUUGACACCCACACGGCCAGUGAAGGCAAGCCUCACGAACCGCGGGAGGGCCACGGGAUGGUGAGAACGGAUGGACCCCAUGCCCCACCUCCCCCCACCGAAGAUGAUACACGUGCGCUGGGACCUCCUGCUUGGGCAGGCCGGAGUACGACCUACGCGAAGACCUAAGCUGUGCAGAAAAUAGCAGCAGCAUCCUGGCGGACUGCUGACCGUGGUCCACCAAAAAAAGGAAUAAAGAGAGAACCAAAAAACCCGUACUAACACGACAACGGAGUCGGCAGCAAGAACAAAGCCUGAUACCUACAACCAACAUACCUGGCAACGAAAUAAAUAUUUCGCCCCGCUUUUGGAUAAAGUACUCUAGUUGCCUGUACUAAGUUUGGAUUUGCCUGAUCUGUAGAAACCGGCUAAAUUUGGCUUUAGAUCAUGAUCUCAUCGUACAAGUCUGUCACAGUAACCGUUUAGUAAUUCUAUAUUAUUUCCCUUGUAUCGAAGGUUUAGAUGUGAUUGAUUUUAGGACAGGUUGAAGAGUUUCCACCCUAGGAGUACUGGUA
Molecule: ribosomal RNA, 1308 nt
Filed under: Triticum aestivum (bread wheat)
Lineage: Eukaryota; Viridiplantae; Streptophyta; Magnoliopsida; Poales; Poaceae
Description: partial small subunit ribosomal RNA
Source: RNAcentral